This 464-nucleotide ribosomal RNA is filed under the name uncultured Lyngbya sp. RNAcentral's name for it is "bacterial SSU rRNA". It matches the Rfam family "Bacterial small subunit ribosomal RNA", at positions 20 to 524 of the family's 1533-position model. The record is from RNAcentral. Lineage: Bacteria; Bacillati; Cyanobacteriota; Cyanophyceae; Oscillatoriales; Microcoleaceae.
UGGCUCAGGAUGAACGCUGGCGGUCUGCUUAACACAUGCAAGUCGAACGGGGUAGAAAUACCUAGUGGCGGACGGGUGAGUAACACGUGAGAAUCUAGCUUCAGGUUCGGGACAACAGAGGGAAACCGCUGCUAAUACCGGAUAUGCCUGUGGGUGAAAGAUUAAUUGCCUGAAGAUGAGCUCGCGGCCGAUUAGCUAGUUGGUGGGGUAAGAGCGUACCAAGGCGACGAUCGGUAGCUGGUCUGAGAGGACGAUCAGCCACACUGGGACUGAGACACGGCCCAGACUCCUACGGGAGGCAGCAGUGGGGAAUUUUCCGCAAUGGGCGAAAGCCUGACGGAGCAAGACCGCGUGAGGGAGGAAGGGCUCUUGGGUUGUAAACCUCUUUUCUCAGGGGAAUAAGCAAUGAAGGGUACCUGAGGGAAUCAGCAUCGGGCUAACUCCGUGCCAGCCGCCGCCGUAAC